RNAcentral lists this transfer RNA (76 nucleotides) under Gammaproteobacteria bacterium. Its description in RNAcentral is "tRNA-Thr". It matches the Rfam family "tRNA". Rfam says of the family: Transfer RNA (tRNA) molecules are approximately 80 nucleotides in length. Their secondary structure includes four short double-helical elements and three loops (D, anti-codon, and T loops). The record is from RNAcentral. Lineage: Bacteria; Pseudomonadati; Pseudomonadota; Gammaproteobacteria. RNAcentral also lists the same sequence under 1 other name.
GCCCACAUAGCUCAGUCGGUAGAGCACUUCCUUGGUAAGGAAGAGGUCAUCGGUUCGAUUCCGAUUGUGGGCACCA